Molecule: small nuclear RNA, 197 nt
Filed under: Leptobrachium leishanense (Leishan spiny toad)
Lineage: Eukaryota; Metazoa; Chordata; Amphibia; Anura; Megophryidae
Description: U2 spliceosomal RNA (ENSLLEG00000022686.1)
Rfam family: U2 spliceosomal RNA
About the family: U2 is a small nuclear RNA (snRNA) component of the spliceosome (involved in pre-mRNA splicing).
Source: Rfam by way of RNAcentral
AUCGCUUCUCGGCCUUUUGCUACGAUCAAGUGUAGUAUCUGUUCUUAUCAGUCCCUAGCCAUAUAUUAACCACUUGGCUGCUAUGGACGCGCUCAGCGCGUCCAGCCAAGUGGUUCUCCUGUGCUACGGACGCGCUCAGCGCGUCCGAGCACAGGAGGCAGCAAUCCGCCGGAUUCCGGCGGAUUGCUGCGCCCCAC